Molecule: ribosomal RNA, 253 nt
Filed under: uncultured bacterium
Lineage: Bacteria
Description: partial 16S ribosomal RNA
Rfam family: Bacterial small subunit ribosomal RNA
Source: RNAcentral
UACGUAGGUGGCAAGCGUUGUUCGGAAUUACUGGGCGUAAAGCGCGUGUAGGCGGCUUGGUAAGUCGGAUGUGAAAGCCCACGGCUCAACCGUGGAAGUGCAUACGAAACUGCCUGGCUAGAGUCCUGGAGAGGAAGGUGGAAUGCUUGGUGUAGAGGUGAAAUUCGUAGAUAUCAAGCGGAACACCGGUGACGAAGGCGGCCUUCUGGACAGUGACUGACGCUGAGACGCGAAAGCGUGGGGAGCAAACAGG